This 59-nucleotide transfer RNA is filed under the name Apaloderma vittatum (bar-tailed trogon). It matches the Rfam family "tRNA", at positions 8 to 63 of the family's 71-position model. Rfam says of the family: Transfer RNA (tRNA) molecules are approximately 80 nucleotides in length. Their secondary structure includes four short double-helical elements and three loops (D, anti-codon, and T loops). Lineage: Eukaryota; Metazoa; Chordata; Aves; Trogoniformes; Trogonidae. The record is from Rfam by way of RNAcentral.
UAGCUCAAUUGGUUAGAGCAUGGUGCUGAGAACACCAAGGUCACAGGUUUGAUCCCCGU